RNAcentral lists this long non-coding RNA (289 nucleotides) under Ananas comosus (pineapple). RNAcentral's name for it is "long non-coding RNA (ACOM_LNC028254)". Lineage: Eukaryota; Viridiplantae; Streptophyta; Magnoliopsida; Poales; Bromeliaceae. The record is from RNAcentral.
AGGGACGGUGAUUGAUCCAGUAAGAUUGGUGCAUAGGUCGCUUCCCAUUUUGGGUAGACAAGUCUCAAGUUAACAGUGUGGGGAUACUGGAGCGAAUGUGCAGGUUGUUGUUAGAGAACAAGGGUACCGAGCGUGACCAACGCGAGAAGUUAUUUGGAUGUCUACUUACUCAUCGUUGUGACUGAUCGCAUAGGUAGAUAGCGAUUUUUGAAUCGCCGGAAAACCUAAUUAUCAAUAUGUUGAUAAUUGGAUCAAUUUGUAAUUGUUACAAAUAUGUGGUAUUAAAGUG